UGCCUCUCGAGGGGAGAAGGGUUAGGGUCUAAAAAUGGGCAAUAGUGCCUUGAGUAUUUUGUGGAUGGUCCCUAAAUUAUCGCCUCUGCGGGACGAUUUUUGAAACUGAUGGACAAGUGAUAGAUAAGAAGACAUAGGGAGUAUGGAGCGAUCUUAUUUGUUGACGUGGUUGGUUCUCAUAGACUGAGGGAGAAAAUGAGUAACUGUCGGGUCUUUAGUGGGUUGCCGUUAGUUAGUCCAUUACCUACCUCCUAAGUCCUAUGUCCAUUGCCACCACCUGCCUCCAUACCAAUAGGAUCCCUCCAAAUCCCUUUUGUCGUCUUUGUCUAUAGCUUUGUCUAUCAGUUUCAAUAAUCGGCCCGCUGCAUGCAUUGGGGUGUUUUGCAUGUUAUUAGUGGCAUUACCUUAUUUUGCGUGUUUUAACACUAUGGCCCCUUCCCCUGCGACUGUUCUGUCUGAAACUAAUUAUUUCAUCGUGUUUCAUCUCAUGAUAUCAAACGAAUCGCCCAUGCAAAAAUUAAUAACGUUGCACUAAAAUGCUUAAGUUAAUUAAUCAUUUGUGCAUGUCUCAAUGAACCACUUACGUAAUUUUAUUUUAGGGGAAAUAUAUAUUUCUUACUGCGGGCAUUUUUGUAUGGGCUGAAUCUCUGCUGAGGCACCGAGCCUUAUUUCGCCUUCAUUUCACGAGUUAUGCAAUAUGCUGUUCUUUUGGAUCGGAUGUUUAUGAUGACUGGUGAGGUCGAGGUCCCGAACAUUCCCGAAGUUCAACGACCAACGAGAAAUCAGCAGCCGCUGCCGAAUUUGACCUCUGCUUUCCGAGUUUGUGAUAAUUUCAGGUCAGAAACCUACCUAAUUAAACCCUUUUAUCCAAAAUGGCUCACGAACCAGUGUACACCGGUUGGAGAAAGUACUACAACUCCGAAACGCAGCUGGGGAGAGCAUCGGUUGGUAACCUUCAUAUUUUAUUCUGAACUAAAUGUUUGAAUCAUUUGAUGUUAAAACAAAUUCAUCCGGUCAAACCAGAAAUGUCCAUAAUUUGAGAAUAUUUAAGCAAUCUAGGUAAUCGAGCUUAGGAAUUAGCUAAAAUGAUUACGCUUUAACAUCAGCUGACUCAUACUAUGAGUACUUAAUUUGUGAUAUUUAUCAUUCAGUGAGCAAGUACUAGGGAUGCGGACUUUUUGGGAAGAAUUGAUUUUCUCAAACAGUUCGAUUUUGGUUAAAAUAUCAAUUAAAACCGAAUAGUUUUAAAUGAAAAAAUCGAUUUUUCCCAAAUAUCGAUUCGGAAAAAAAUCGAUUUUCUUACUUCUACCUGAGAUGCCAAAUUCCAUUUUACUGAUAAGUGAAAUUUCAUUUUCCAUCAAACAUCAACCAUUUUUCAAGGGCUGUGUAUGCAACUUGCAACAAUUAUCGAAGAAUUCAAUGAAAAACUUGGAAUUGAACUAGUGAUAUUUUCUUUCAUCAAAAUUUCAGAAUUUAAAAUUUUCUUCAAAGAAAAAACUUAAACUAGAACUACCUAGAAAGAGACACAGAGAAAAAAAGGUUCAUAAAAGUGAAAAAAAAAAAAAAAAAACAUCACGUAAUAGACAGAAAAAGAAAAAAAUUGUGAAUGAAAUGUAGUUUGGGCUUACAGAACUUGAGCAGAAUCUUUACCACAACUAUGCCAAAAAAUUGCAUCCCUUUGAGGUUAAAAAAUUGAUUUGGCCGAUAUAUGGGGGGGGGGGGGGAGGGUGUCGAAAAAUUGAUUUGAUUUAAUUGAUCUUUCGGGUCAAAAGAUCGACUUUUCGGUCGAAUUGAUUAAAAUUCCGCAAUCCCAGGGAGCACAGAAGCAGUAAUGGAUUUGAAAGAGUGCCUAAAAGUCUUCAUAACUAAAAUUUUAUCAGAUAAAUUCAGACACAAGAGACCCUCCAUUGGUAUCUUGGCAAUGGUGGAAGCUUUUCCUCUUGGGACUUCAACAUUGAACUGUUGACCUACUUACUAGGUGGAUGGUAAACAAGUUGAGAGUUUCCUUUUGCAGGCAAACCGAAGUUUGAGAAACAUGUUUGGCUCAUGACGUGACCAAAAGCUCAUCAUCCUCCUAGUAGGUAAGAUGAAUGCUGGUCCCUAAUAAUUGUCCAUAAGGAAAUGCUGAGUCCCCAAAGCAAAAGCUUCCACCUUUUGUCAUGAGGCCAGUAGGAGGUCUCUUAUCUAUGAAUAAAGCCCUGUCCCUGAUCAGAUAAAACUCCCAUGAAUUUACCCUUUUCAUCUGCCUGAGUUUGUAGCGAUUAUGUCAUUAGUGCAAGCAGAUUUAGCAGGGGUCCAACCUAGUUUUCAAAAAAAAAAAAAUUGUGUAGAAAGAUAGAUUAAGAAAAAGGAAAAAACAGUUACUAUAAUUCUACCACACCUCAUCCUUUUUCCUGUGUAGAACAAAGUAACAAACCUUUCAAACCAAGAUAAGAAAUUAAACAAUAUUAUUUUUGGUCCCUAAAAUUUUGAGAAAAGCUUAAUGGAAUUUGAGUAAUUUCUUCCAAAAUUCAAACCUCUGUGUACUCCUUUCAGCAUAAAUCUUUAAGCUUGCUACAGGCUGAUUCUUUCUGUUGUUCGAUAAGUAUAUCACCACAAGAAUAGGUUGUACAGUAGAAAUUCUCGAGCAGCGGUGGAUUAACUGCCAAAAUCUUUAGUCCAGAAAGGCUACUCAUGGGCUCGUAAUUAUGAACAAUGUCUUUUGCCCGUUUAUCAAGAAUUGAUCAGAGAUUCUCACCUGUUCUUGGCCAUAAAUAAUCACUUUUCAAGAUCAUCAAUGAAAAAAAGUGUGCAAGUUUGUAGUUUUGCCUCAAGAUCAGACAUGGAAUUUUGUUUACUGGCGUUUGCAGACACUCUGAUUCGUUUCUAAAGUUUUAAGUACAUUUAUGUACAUAAUUGAGUUUUCUCUUUUCUGUUACAGGCUGCAAGAAUCACCUAUGGCGUUGCUGCUCUUGUUUUUGUGUACUAUAAGUUCAUAAAGCCCAAGCCAGCAGCAGCAGCAGCUGAAAAGAAAUGAGCCCCCUUCCUCAAUAUGUCCUAGGUAGUGUAAGUUAAGGUCUCUCAGAAUGUUCAUCGUUCGUUUCCUUAUGGUUUUCAAUCAUUUUGCAUUUUAAAUCAAGCUGUCAAACUUCAGAUGAGCGCGAAGGUAACGGAAAGAGUGGAAACCGUUCCUAGUAAAUUGUAAAAAUUAAUUUGUAAGGUAAAGCAGGAACUUGAGAGUCUCAAAACCCAGCAGAUAAAAAAUUCCAACUGUCAAAUCUUAUUUUGUAUAGGUCUUCUUUUCUCUCUUUAUGUUGGGUAUCUCAGCAUUGAAAGUUAUGAUUUUUUUUGUUGAAUAUUAAAAGAUUAAAAAUCCACACACUGUUCCAUUCUGUUUGUUGUCAUUCGUCAUCCUCUCAGUCUCCACCUUUCCCUCUCUACAUAAAUGAACUGAAUUCUGAGGGCAAAAGUAAAGAUUCAUUUUUCUGUCAAGGGUUCAAAAGUCUCAAAAUGCAGACUGUCGGCUGCGAUUCGGUGUUUUUGCCUCACGGAUACUACUUAUUCAAAUUUUAGCAGAAUGCCUGAUAUCAACAUGUGUCAGUCGCCCCACUUCUUUAAUGCGUUGAGUAGGGAAAAAUAAAUAUUUUUCUUUGAAAGUUGCCUCACAACCAAAGAUCUGACAUUUGCUUAAAUCGUUAAACCACAGAAUCAGGAAGUUUUUGGACCUUUGCUUUACAAUAUUGUGUGCCACGUUUCUCUUAGUUAUUUAUUAUUACUUCUAAACCUUCUGACAUAAUGAUCAUGAAAGUUCCAAAAUUUGCACAUUAAAACUCUAUAAUUUUGACCGUAGCGUCCAGUUCUCUAAAAAAAACCCUGCAAUUUAGUGUUUUUUUCGAACUUGAAAGGUGGGUGAAGAUUCUAGCUCAAAAACUGUGUCUUUGAUAAAACAGCUACCAAAGAUUUGGCUAUGUGUACUUUGAUGUAAAUUGUAAGCAUAUCAAAGUCAUUAAAAAUUAAGAACUGUGCUUGUAAUGAAGUUUGUGUUUUCAUUUAUAGAUUUUGCUAAUUUUAUGUCUCAGGAAAAAGAAAACUAUGAAAACUAGAAGAGGGUCUUCCUGCAUUGAAGAAGCCCAUUUAGUACUUUUUAUCUGAGCCGGUUUCAAACGCCUUUGUUGCUGUAUGCACCGGAUAGCGAAUUCCCUAUUCUGUGCUAACAGCGAAAAAUGCAAAAACAUGUGAAAUGGGUUCUAGUUUGCCUGUUUUAAAUUGUUUUUAAAGAAAAUACACCACCUCAAAUUUUAAGAUUGUUUUUUAUCACGGAUGACUACUGAUUAUCUGAUCUCGAUUAUGAAUAGAAAGGGACAGGGGAAGUGAGAUUAAAAAUAUAAAAUUUAUGAUUCUUGAGGAGCAAAGAAACGUCUUAAAUUUAACCUUUCCUUCUAUUUAUUUUAUCAAUUCAAGAUUCUUUUAUCAUUAAGAAGGCGAAAUUCAAAGUUGAAUAAAAACCAGGUGACAAUCCAUGUGCAAUUGUGAUUGGCUUUGGUAUUCUAACAUUCUAAUGUUCCCAUUUUAUAAGUAAAAAAUUAAACUAACUUGAUUACCAUAGGUAAGAAAGUCCCAUCUCCAUCAACUCCAGAAAGCAACCGUUGUUUCAGAUCUUCAAAUUCGAGUUGCCUAGCCAGGAAUCCAACUUGGGACCUGCUGAUUGUAGAGCCAGCAUUACAACCACUAAGUAUGCAUAAUACCAAUUAAGGCCAACACUAAUCGACAAACUAUUUUGUCCUUACAAUCUGCAGAUUAAAACUCAGUCAAAAGUCUGUUGAAUUCUCUAGGUGCAGAAAAUAAAAAGAUUUCAACAUCGACAAAACAAUGUAAAUAGCAACCCUACUAGGUCUACAGCUGUAGAAAAGAACCUCUAAAAACUCUUGAAUAUCAAGUGGACAACUCUUAAAAAAAACUAUUAAAUAUUCGUAUCAGGAAACACUCAUUGGCUAUUUUUUUUUAAGUAAAAUUUACGAGCCGUCAAAUUUAAGUAAUAAAGUGUUAAAAAAAACUCUUAAAAUAUCAACUGUAGUUUUUCACACUAAAAUGUCGGAAAGAAAUGUUAAAAAACCAUUUUUAUAUUCUAAGAGUCUUGUAACACUUUUUUCCUUAGAUUUUACUUGAAUCUUACUUCUCGUAAAUUUUAGGUACUCAAAAAUACUUAUUGUUAGUUAAAAAAGGGUCUCCUAAUGUGAAACAUUUUAAGAGUUUUUGAAAAUUGUUUAAAAAAUGAAAUAAAUAGGAAAAAAUGCAUUUAAAGAGGAGGAAACUAAAGGCUAAUCUUGUUGCGUGAUUUUACCUUGCGGUGAGUCACUUGGAGAAAUGCAUGCAUCUUGAAAUGGAAAUGCUGCGGCUUAACUGCGCUCUGAGUGCUGGCCUGUACGAUUUGAAUACUGGCGUGGUUGCUGAUUCUAGAUAAUACGUUUGUGCUUGCCGUCCAUGCUACCGUGCUCAGUAAGAACUAAGAACACCGUAUGAGGCACCAGGCGUCGCCAAAUUUCUCUAGCUAAUCACGAAUUUUCUGGAAUAUUUCUCUUCCAAUUUUUCACAGGAUAUUGUUCGCAAUUUUAUCUUAAAUUCUCGAAAUGUCAAGGAAAAAUUUGCUUCACUUUCUUCAAAGUAAGUAUUUUCGAAGCCUGAAAGUGGUAACAUUCGAACGCUUGUACUUACGACGUUUUUACGUCGCACGUAAUUGAAUCAAUUUUUUUUUGCAUUAAACUUUCCAUCUAACUUUUUGUUCAAUUAUGUCGGGUGUUGAAUUUAUAGUGUGAAUUGGCCUUCGAAAAGCAAAUAAAUUGUGAUAAUCCGUUCUUGGCAGAAUGUUCCGAAAGAAAAGGCCGGCACCUCCUCCCCCCCCCCCUCGUCUGUCUGCCGGAAAUGGAUACUAACUCCUCACCACUCG
RNAcentral lists this long non-coding RNA (5923 nucleotides) under Bemisia tabaci. Its description in RNAcentral is "lncRNA ENSSSA3NGG006067". The record is from RNAcentral. Lineage: Eukaryota; Metazoa; Arthropoda; Insecta; Hemiptera; Aleyrodidae.